GCCUGAUUAGCAUAAAAGUAAUGCAACCGUUUUGUAAUCGGUAGAAAUAAGUGCAAUACUUAUAUUAGGCU
This is a non-coding RNA of Genlisea aurea, 71 nucleotides long. The record is from Rfam. NCBI's taxonomy places the organism in Eukaryota, Viridiplantae, Streptophyta, Magnoliopsida, Lamiales, Lentibulariaceae.